GAGUGCCAUCCGCUGAGGAAGGCUUUUACCCAGUCUAGAACGCUGGGGGAAUAAGGAGAGGGCAAGUCUGGUGUCAGCCGCCGCGGUAAUACCAGCUCUCCGAGUGGUGUGGAUGUUUAUUGGGCCUAAAGCAUCCGUAGCUGGCUAAGUUAGUCCCUUGUUAAAUCCACCGAAUUAAUCGUUGGAUUGCGGGGGAUACUGCUUGGCUAGGGGACGAGAGAGGCAGACGGUAUUUUCGGGGUAGGGGUGAAAUCCUAUAAUCCCGGGAAGACCACCAGUGGCGAAGGCUGUCUGCUAGAACGCGCCCGACGGUGAGGGAUGAAAGCUGGGGGAGCGAACCGGAUUAGAUACCCGGGUAGUCCCAGCUGUAAACGAUGCAGGCUAGGUGUUUGGACGGCCACGUGCCGUUCUAGUGCCGCAGGGAAGCUGUUAAGCCUGCCGCCUGGGGAGUACGAUCGCAAGAUUGAAACUUAA
RNAcentral lists this ribosomal RNA (474 nucleotides) under uncultured archaeon. RNAcentral's name for it is "bacterial SSU rRNA". It matches the Rfam family "Archaeal small subunit ribosomal RNA", at positions 383 to 859 of the family's 1478-position model. The record is from RNAcentral.